UGGGGGAGGGGCCGUGACCCUGCUGGAGUGCGGGGGGGACCUCCAGCCCCCCAGGGGGUCCCUGCGCCUCCUCUGCCCAGGGGCCGGGUUCGAUUUUGGGGGUUAUGGAAUGUUCUGGAUCCGCCAGAGACCCGGGCAGGGGCUGGAUUGGCUCGCAGGGAUCUACAGCGGUGGUUUCAGCACCUACUACGCGCCGUCGCUCAAGGGCCGGGUCAUGAUCUCCAGGGACAACGGGCAGAGCUCGGUGACGCUGACCAUGACCGACCUCCGGGACGAGGAUUCCGGAUCCUAUUUCUGUGCCAGGGCUGCUGAUGCUGGUGCUUACCGUGCUGCUGCUGUUGACCAGCUACUGGGGACACCCCUGCCCCUGCUCCCCAGACCCUCCCCCAGACCCCACCCCUGACCCCGUUCCUGUCCC
Non-coding RNA from Haemorhous mexicanus (house finch), 418 nucleotides. The record is from the annotation of a RefSeq genome assembly. Lineage: Eukaryota; Metazoa; Chordata; Aves; Passeriformes; Fringillidae.